Molecule: ribosomal RNA, 253 nt
Filed under: uncultured bacterium
Lineage: Bacteria
Description: partial 16S ribosomal RNA
Rfam family: Bacterial small subunit ribosomal RNA
Source: RNAcentral
UACGUAGGGUGCGAGCGUUAAUCGGAAUUACUGGGCGUAAAGGGCUCGUAGGUGGCCAACUAAGUCAGACGUGAAAUCCCCAGGCUCAACUUGGGAACUGCGUCUGAUACUGGAUGGCUUGAAUUCGGGAGAGGGAUGCAGAAUUCCAGGUGUAGCGGUGAAAUGCGUAGAUAUCUGGAGGAAUACCGGUGGCGAAGGCGGCAUCCUGGACCGAUAUUGACACUGAGGAGCGAAAGCCAGGGGAGCAAACGGG